Molecule: transfer RNA, 74 nt
Filed under: Streptomyces hygroscopicus subsp. jinggangensis TL01
Lineage: Bacteria; Bacillati; Actinomycetota; Actinomycetes; Kitasatosporales; Streptomycetaceae
Description: tRNA-Thr
Source: RNAcentral
CCGACCUGGGGCUUCUGCCCCGGGACCGCGGAGGGAAAGCAGGCCCCAGGGCGAGGCGGUCGCCGCGGACACGA